GGCGGCGUGCUUAACACAUGCAAGUCGAACGGAAAGGCCCUGCUUUUGUGGGGUGCUCGAGUGGCGAACGGGUGAGUAACACGUGAGUAACCUGCCCUUGACUUUGGGAUAACUUCAGGAAACUGGGGCUAAUACCGGAUAGGAGCUCCUGCUGCAUGGUGGGGGUUGGAAAGUUUCGGCGGUUGGGGAUGGACUCGCGGCUUAUCAGCUUGUUGGUGGGGUAGUGGCUUACCAAGGCUUUGACGGGUAGCCGGCCUGAGAGGGUGACCGGCCACAUUGGGACUGAGAUACGGCCCAGACUCCUACGGGAGGCAGCAGUGGGGAAUAUUGCACAAUGGGCGGAAGCCUGAUGCAGCAACGCCGCGUGCGGGAUGACGGCCUUCGGGUUGUAAACCGCUUUCGCCUGUGACGAAGCGUGAGUGACGGUAAUGGGUAAAGAAGCACCGGCUAACUACGUGCCAGCAGCCGCGGUGAUACGUAGGGUGCGAGCGUUGUCCGGAUUUAUUGGGCGUAAAGGGCUCGUAGGUGGUUGAUCGCGUCGGAAGUGUAAUCUUGGGGCUUAACCCUGAGCGUGCUUUCGAUACGGGUUGACUUGAAGAAGGUAGGGGAGAAUGGAAUUCCUGGUGGAGCGGUGGAAUGCGCAGAUAUCAGGAGGAACACCAGUGGCGAAAGCGGUUCUCUGGGCCUUUCCUGACGCUGAAGAGCGAAAGCGUGGGGAGCGAACAGGCUUAGAUACCCUGGUAGUCCACGCUGUAAACGGUGGGUACUAGGUGUGGGGUCCAUUCCCCGGGGUUCCGUGCCGUAGCUAACGCUUUUAGUCCCCCGCCUGGGGAGUACCGCCCGCAGGCUAAAAACUCAAAGGAAAUUGACGGGGGCCCCGCACAAGCGGCGGAGCAUGCGGAUUAAUUCGAUGCAACGCGUAGAACCUUACCUGGGUUUGACAUGGAUCGGGAGUGCUCAGAGAUGGGUGUGCCUCUUUUGGGGUCGGUUCACAGGUGGUGCAUGGCUGUCGUCAGCUCGUGUCGUGAGAUGUUGGGUUAAGUCCCGCAACGAGCGCAACCCUUGUUCACUGUUGCCAGCACGUUAUGGUGGGGACUCAGUGGAGACCGCCGGGGUCAACUCGGAGGAAGGUGGGGAUGACGUCAAGUCAUCAUGCCCCUUAUGUCCAGGGCUUCACGCAUGCUACAAUGGCUGGUACAGAGAGUGGCGAGCCUGUGAGGGUGAGCGAAUCUCGGAAAGCCGGUCUCAGUUCGGAUUGGGGUCUGCAACUCGACCUCAUGAAGUCGGAGUCGCUAGUAAUCGCAGAUCAGCAACGCUGCGGUGAAUACGUUCCCGGGGCUUGUACACACCGCCCGUCAAGUCAUGAAAGUUGGUAACACCCGAAGCCGGUGGCCUAACCGUUGUGGGGGAGCCGUCGAAGGUGGGACUGGUGAUUAGG
RNAcentral lists this ribosomal RNA (1438 nucleotides) under uncultured organism. RNAcentral's name for it is "SSU rRNA". It matches the Rfam family "Bacterial small subunit ribosomal RNA". The record is from RNAcentral.